Molecule: transfer RNA, 73 nt
Filed under: Candidatus Uabimicrobium amorphum
Lineage: Bacteria; Pseudomonadati; Planctomycetota; Candidatus Uabimicrobiia; Candidatus Uabimicrobiales; Candidatus Uabimicrobiaceae
Description: Uabimicrobium amorphum tRNA
Rfam family: tRNA
About the family: Transfer RNA (tRNA) molecules are approximately 80 nucleotides in length.
Source: Rfam by way of RNAcentral
GCGGGUGUAGCUCAAUUGGCAGAGCACUGGAUUUCCAUUCCAGGUGUUGUGGGUUCAAAUCCCAUCACCCGCU